GCUGGGUGUGGUGUCACACACACCUGUAAUCCCAACAAAUUGGGAGGCUGAGGCAGGAGAAUUGUGAGUUCAAGGCCACUCUUAGCAACUUAGUGAGACCCUGUCUCAA
Molecule: small RNA, 109 nt
Filed under: Marmota monax (woodchuck)
Lineage: Eukaryota; Metazoa; Chordata; Mammalia; Rodentia; Sciuridae
Source: RNAcentral